UCCCUGGUGGCUCAGACGGUAAAGCGUCUGUCUACAAUGCAGGAGACCCAGGUUCGAUCCCUGGGUUGGGAA
Transfer RNA from Ovis aries (sheep), 72 nucleotides. It matches the Rfam family "tRNA". Rfam says of the family: Transfer RNA (tRNA) molecules are approximately 80 nucleotides in length. The record is from Rfam. NCBI's taxonomy places the organism in Eukaryota, Metazoa, Chordata, Mammalia, Artiodactyla, Bovidae.